UGUAAGCGUAUACCAAAGUUGUUGCAGUUAAAACGCUCGUAGUCGGAAUUUGGCAGUUCCGGAUGUGUGCACGUCGUGUGCGCACUUCGCGGGGAUUGCUUUUGUGGUCUUGCGUAGGAUGAGGCACUUUUAUUAGUGAACGUCCUCACGCAACCAUUUUUUACUGUGAGAAAAUCAGAGUGCUCAAAGCAGGCAUUCGCCGUGAAUGUAUUAGCAUGGAAUAAUAGAAUAGGACUUGGUUCUAUUUUGUUGGUUUGUUGGGACUGAGUAAUGAUUAAGAGGGACAGUUGGGGGCAUUUGUAUUUCGGUGCUAGAGGUGAAAUUCUUAGAUUACCGAAAGACAAACUGCUGCGAAAGCGUCUGCCAAGGAUGUUUUCAUUGA
Molecule: ribosomal RNA, 382 nt
Filed under: uncultured eukaryote
Lineage: Eukaryota
Description: partial 18S ribosomal RNA
Rfam family: Eukaryotic small subunit ribosomal RNA
Source: RNAcentral